UGUUUUGGUUCGGAUGCCGAUGUAAUUCCAUCCAGUGGUUGUCGGGCUCCAUGUUUGCUAUCUGUUUGAUUGUUUGUUUGUUGUUUGGCGUGCGUGAGCCGAACUACAGAGGCUCUGAUUCUUGUUCCAGACAAGAUAUGUAGGCAUAAGGUGCGAUACCUUAUCGAGCUCGUUCCUCUUAACCCCACCUGCGUUCCCCGUGUGUGUGUGUGUGAUGUUUAGCAACCUUUU
Molecule: long non-coding RNA, 231 nt
Filed under: Lathyrus oleraceus (garden pea)
Lineage: Eukaryota; Viridiplantae; Streptophyta; Magnoliopsida; Fabales; Fabaceae
Description: Pisum sativum (pea) long non-coding RNA (PSAT_LNC019840)
Source: RNAcentral